CCUACGGGAGGCAGCAGUGAGGAAUAUUGGUCAAUGGGCGCGAGCCUGAACCAGCCAAGUCGCGUGAGGGAGGACGGCCCUACGGGUUGUAAACCUCUUUUGCCGGGGAGCAACGGGCGUCACGUGUGGCGCCACUGAGAGUACCCGGAGAAAAAGCAUCUGCUAACUACGUGCCAGCAGCCGCGGUAAUACGGAGGAUGCGAGCGUUAUCCGGAUUUAUUGGGUUUACAGGGUGCGUAGGCGGAUCGUUAAGUCAGUGGGCAAAUUUAGGGGCUCAACCCCUUCCCGCCAUUGAAACUGGCGCUCUUGAGUGGAAGAGAAGUAUGCGGAAUGCGUGGUAUAGCGGUGAAAUGCAUAGAUAUCACGCAGAACCCCGAUUGCGAAGGCAGCAUGCCGGCUUCCGACUGACGCUGAAGCACGAAAGCGUGGGGAUCGAACAGGAUUAGAUACCCCUGUAGUC
This 460-nucleotide ribosomal RNA is filed under the name uncultured bacterium. Its description in RNAcentral is "partial 16S ribosomal RNA". It matches the Rfam family "Bacterial small subunit ribosomal RNA", at positions 338 to 795 of the family's 1533-position model. The record is from RNAcentral.